Prolemur simus (greater bamboo lemur) is the source of this 107-nucleotide small nuclear RNA. NCBI's taxonomy places the organism in Eukaryota, Metazoa, Chordata, Mammalia, Primates, Lemuridae. The record is from Ensembl.
GAGCUUGCUUCAUCAGCACAUAUACGAAAAUUGAAAGAAUAUAGAGAAGAUUACCACAGUCCGUGCCCAAGGAUGACAUGAAAAUUUAUGAAGCAUUCCAUAUUCUG